Molecule: RNA transcript, 2674 nt
Organism: Cygnus atratus (black swan)
Lineage: Eukaryota; Metazoa; Chordata; Aves; Anseriformes; Anatidae
Gene: SULT4A1
Gene name: sulfotransferase family 4A member 1
Exons: 8
Source: RefSeq, a predicted model, not a curated record
CGUGCGCGGGGGCGGGGCCUGGUCCUCGCUUUGCCCGCUGCCGCCAGGCGCUCCCGCACCUCCCUCCCCCCCGGUCACUUCCAUCUCUGCCAGCCAGGGCGAGGAUGGCGGAGAGCGAGGCUGAGACCCCCAGCACGCCGGGGGAGUUCGAGAGCAAGUACUUCGAGUACAAUGGCGUGCGGCUGCCGCCCUUCUGCCGGGGGAAGAUGGAGGAGAUCGCCAACUUCCCGGUGAGGGACAGCGACGUCUGGAUCGUCACCUAUCCUAAGUCAGGCACAGGCUUGCUACAGGAAGUGGUUUAUCUAGUGAGUCAGGGAGCUGAUCCAGAUGAGAUUGGACUAAUGAAUAUAGAUGAACAACUUCCAGUCCUAGAGUACCCUCAGCCUGGUCUGGACAUCAUCAAGGAACUAACAUCUCCUCGCCUCAUAAAAAGCCACCUACCAUAUCGUUUUUUGCCUUCAGACCUCCAUAAUGGCAAUUCAAAGGUAAUAUACAUGGCUCGCAACCCCAAAGACCUGGUGGUGUCCUAUUACCAGUUUCACCGCUCCCUAAGAACCAUGAGCUACAGAGGAACAUUUCAGGAGUUCUGCAGAAGGUUUAUGAAUGACAAGUUAGGAUAUGGCUCUUGGUUUGAACAUGUCCAAGAGUUUUGGGAACAUCACAUGGAUGCCAACAUGCUUUUCCUCAAGUAUGAAGAUAUGCACAAGGACCUAGCAACAAUGGUGGAGCAACUGGUGAGGUUUUUGGGAGUUUCUUAUGACAAAGCACAGUUGGAAUCCAUGGUGGAACACUGCCAUCAACUCAUUGAUCAGUGCUGUAAUGCAGAAGCGCUUCCUGUUGGCAGGGCACAUUGAUCUAUACUCUGAAGAUAACCAUGAGCUGCUGUGAAAGCAGAGCAAUGAUUAGAUAUAUUAUUUACAUUUGACUCAUAUCACAUCAUAAGUUACACAAUUGCAUGAUUCAAAUCAUAAACCAGGUCGAGUUGGGCUAUGGAAAGACAUCUUCACUGUUUCUAUGAAUGAGAAAUUUGAUUUAGUUUAUAAACAGAAGAUGGGAAAAUGUGACCUCACAUUUGAUUUUUAUUUAUAAAAAUGCAUGCAUAUGAUAUCCAAAUGUAGCUAGAAGUGCUUUAUGCAUUCAUUUAUUACCUGCUGGACAAACUACUGUAGCUAUUAUGUGUAACAAGAUUUAAAGAAAGAAAAACAAUCAAAAUAAACCGUAGAUCAAGUAAACAAUCUAAGAAAACCUUAAACAAUUUAAGUGUAAACCAGAUACGAUUAUCUUUGAUCCUAAACAGCUGUUCAUUUUCUGGUAUUUUAAUUACUUGUCCACAUGCAAGAACUUCCUAGACAACACUAGAACAUUCAGCUGCUAAGAAAUUGUAUUAUGUAUAAGGUAUGUAUCAUAUGUGCAACUAGAAUGUACACCUUUUCAGGCCCAUCUUGCUUAUUUAAUGUUUUAUAAAGCUUUUCAUAAAGACCUAAAUAAAUGUCCAUAAACCAAAUAAAUUAUUUCAGAGGGGAACAAGUAACAGGCCAAAACUGUAUGCUAGAAUGAUCUCAGGGGUUAAUCAUCACAUUUAUUUUUAUAGCUGGUAAAUCAAGUAUAAAUAAAUCCCAUUCCAAAAUAAAUGAUCAAAGUCGGAUUCACAUUAAGUUCUGCACACCCUUAUCUCUAUAAUUUCUGAGUAGGUUCUGUGUACUGGUACACUCUGCAAGACAGGCCUUGUUAUGAAAUAUAGCUGUGAUUGUCACUAAUCCCCAAGCUCAUGCAUGCUUUCAUGGAUCAUGGAUGGCUGCAUGCAGCAGUCUUCUUGAUGGAAGAAGUUCAGCUCCAUCCAGAAGGUCAGCAAACAGAAGCUUUCAGCCUGCAGCUCUAGCUUAGUCCCUCAAAAUGGGGACCAAGGCAUCUAUCUGGUGCAGAGGUCUUUUUUCAGGAAUCAGUCUCUAACUCAUGUUGGUUUACUGUGCAGAUCUGAAUUUCACCUAUUAGAUACAGUCAGAGAAGAUAAGGUGCUGGAUAUCCUCCUGUUCCACCAAAAGUUAACGGCAUUCAGCACUGUUCUCUGUGCUACUGGACUCCCUCAGACCUAAGAUAAAGUGGAUAUGUGUGACAAUGUAAGCAGGCAGAGGGAAUGGCAGCAAUGAGGGAAGAGAGUUUAAAAAUACACCACCAGGUGGGAGUAUUGUACAAAUAUUGAUGCAGAAUAGUUUCAGUAAUUGUUAGCCAUGGCUUGUUGGUCUGGAUUGUGAUCAGGAGGAAAGUUGAUUUCUUUUAUUUUCGAUGACAGGUACACAAACAGCCUGAAGCAGGCUCCUAUUACUGUAAAACUUUACAGAAUUAUUUUAUUCUGUUAGGUAAUGACAUCAAUGCCUUUUAGGUUCUCAGUGGCAGGAGGCCUAUUUUUGCUAGUCAAAUAUUCAGUCUCGCCAAAAGCCAUGAGGAAAAACUAGCAGAUUUUUGGUGUUUCAGUUUUGUUGGGAAACAAACUGUCAGUUUAACUGGCAAGUGGUGUAGCAUGAUGUGGCUUGACAGCACUUUUCCUUGUAUAUUUGUGAGUGAAAAUGCUUUCAGUGAAAUUUUAUUUCUAUUUUUAUAUUUUUAGUACUGUAUGAAUAGUAAGCACUACACAUUAUACUUCUGCGCUUGCUUGCUUAUUGAAUAAAAGAUGUGU